UACAGAGGUCCCAAGCGUUGUUCGGAUUCAUUGGGCGUAAAGGGUGCGUAGGCGGCGCGGUAAGUCGGGUGUGAAAUCUCGGGGCUUAACUCCGAAACUGCAUUCGAUACUGCCGUGCUUGAGGACUGGAGAGGAGACUGGAAUUUACGGUGUAGCGGUGAAAUGCGUAGAUAUCGUAAGGAAGACCAGUGGCGAAGGCGGGUCUCUGGACAGUUCCUGACGCUGAGGCACGAAGGUCAGGGGAGCAAACGGGAUUAGAACCUACGUGU
This 269-nucleotide ribosomal RNA is filed under the name uncultured bacterium. RNAcentral's name for it is "partial 16S ribosomal RNA". It matches the Rfam family "Bacterial small subunit ribosomal RNA", at positions 524 to 794 of the family's 1533-position model. The record is from RNAcentral.